RNAcentral lists this ribosomal RNA (497 nucleotides) under uncultured bacterium. RNAcentral's name for it is "partial 16S ribosomal RNA". It matches the Rfam family "Bacterial small subunit ribosomal RNA", at positions 28 to 507 of the family's 1533-position model. The record is from RNAcentral.
GAUGAACGCUGGCGGCGUGCCUAAUACAUGCAAGUCGAGCGAACAGAUGAGGAGCUUGCUCCUCUGACGUUAGCGGCGGACGGGUGAGUAACACGUGGAUAACCUACCUAUAAGACUGGGAUAACUUCGGGAAACCGGAGCUAAUACCGGAUAAUAUAUUGAACCGCAUGGUUCAAUAGUGAAAGACGGUUUUGCUGUCACUUAUAGAUGGAUCCGCGCCGCAUUAGCUAGUUGGUAAGGUAACGGCUUACCAAGGCAACGAUGCGUAGCCGACCUGAGAGGGUGAUCGGCCACACUGGAACUGAGACACGGUCCAGACUCCUACGGGAGGCAGCAGUAGGGAAUCUUCCGCAAAGGGCGAAAGCCUGACGGAGCAACGCCGCGUGAGUGAUGAAGGUCUUCGGAUCGUAAAACUCUGUUAUUAGGGUAGAACAAAUGUGUAAGUAACUAUGCACGUCUUGACGGUACCUAAUCAGAAAGCCACGGCUAACUACGUG